This 1323-nucleotide long non-coding RNA is filed under the name Pan troglodytes (chimpanzee). RNAcentral's name for it is "lncRNA (ENSPTRG00000053584.1)". The record is from RNAcentral. Lineage: Eukaryota; Metazoa; Chordata; Mammalia; Primates; Hominidae.
CCAUACUUCUGAUAAAUUGUCCUCUCCAUAGACAUGGAAAUUAGCUUCAGUGUAGCAGCAAAGCUUAAAGGAGCAGGUGAGUAGUUAGCUAGGAGUAUGCCACCAUAUCUAAGCCAUUGGCUAUAGAGUAUCAUCUAUGGGGUCAUGCAUAGAAGGGGCCAGGGAAUGAGUUAAGUACAAGAAGGCACCCUAGUAUAGUAAAAAAUAAGACAGGAGUUGAAGUCAGAAGACCAGCUUUAGUCUCUAACUUUGCAGUUUACUGCAUGAGUGAUUAUGUGUCCAUUGUUUGUCCUCUAGGAGCCUUAGUGUCCCCAUAUGAAAGAUAAAGAAUCAAAUGGAUAUUACAUGCAAAAUAUCUUGGGACUCAUAAUCACUAUGUAACCAUCACAGAAAGGAAGAAUACAUUAUUCUGAACCCUGGGCUUGUCUGAGCUGUGCACAGAUUUUAAUGAAUCCCUGAUUCUGUCUCAGAAAAAUAGAAUUACUAUUUGGCAUGGUACCAAUCCAUUUCUUUCUUUUUUUGAGACAGAAUCUCGCUCCGUCACCCAGGCUGGAGUGCAGUGGCUCAAUCUUGGCUCACUGCAACCUCUGCCUCCCAGGUUCAAGCAAUUCUCCUGCCUUAGCCUCCCGAAUAGCUGAGACUACAGGCGCGUACCGUCUCAUUCAGCUAUUUUUUUGUAUUUUUAGUGGAGACGGGGUUUCACCGUGUUAGCCAGGAUGGUCUUGGUUUCCUGACCUCGUGAUCCACCCGCCUCGGCCUCCAAAAGUAUUGGGAUUAUAGGAGUGAGCCACCACACCUGGCCUCCAUUUCAUUUUUAUUGAGUUCAACUUUGUUGCAUGUUGUGACAAUAAAGACCUUUGGAAAAAAGUAAGCAUAAACUAAUGACCAUGAUUCAGAUACAUUUGCAAGCUGGAAACAUUUUGGUCAUUGUAGCUGGAUGCCUUAAAAGAAAACUCAGUAAUACAUGCUCUCUUUUCUCCAUGGGGAAAACAGAUGAAGGCUCUAAGAUGGGUGAUAACACUUCCAAGGAUCUGUUUUCCAGGAAACCCAACCUGUAAAGUUGAUACCAAGAGCGGUUUAAGAAAACAAGUGCUAAAAUGGAGUUUUGGAGCCAGAUUACCUGCUACUUUGCCAACAAUGAAGACACCAUCCCUGGUAGUAGGUGAAGCACAGAGAGCCCUGCUACAACUAUCCAGUUGUCAAAGGUUUUACUGGUGGUACAUCGGGAUGGUAUAGCAGUAUAAGGGAAUCCACUAGUUGGUUCCAUAUAUCAGGCAUUUGAGGAAUAUGGGUGAAAUAGAAACAAAACAACAAAAAAUUGAG